UACGUAGGGCGCAAGCGUUAUCCGGAAUUAUUGGGCGUAAAGAGCUCGUAGGCGGUUUGUCGCGUCUGCCGUGAAAGUCCGGGGCUCAACUCCGGAUCUGCGGUGGGUACGGGCAGACUAGAGUGAUGUAGGGGAGACUGGAAUUCCUGGUGUAGCGGUGAAAUGCGCAGAUAUCAGGAGGAACACCAGUGGCGAAAGCGGCUUCCUGGUCCAGCACCGACGUCAGGCACGAAAGCGUGGGGAGCAAACAGG
Molecule: ribosomal RNA, 252 nt
Filed under: uncultured bacterium
Lineage: Bacteria
Description: partial 16S ribosomal RNA
Rfam family: Bacterial small subunit ribosomal RNA
Source: RNAcentral